AACGCGAAGAACCUUACCUACCUUUGAAUCCACGGAAUCUGGCAGAGAUGCUGGAGUGCCUUCGGGAACCGUGAGACAGGUGCUGCAUGGCUGUCGUCAGCUCGUGUCGUGAGAUGUUGGGUUAAGUCCCGUAACGAGCGCAACCCUUAUCCUUAGUUACCAGCGAGUAAAGUCGGGGACUUUAAGGAGACUGCCGGUGAUAAACCGGAGGAAGGUGGGGAUGACGUCAAGUCCUCAUGGCCCUUACAGGUAGGGCUACACACGUGCUACAAUGGCCGGUACAAAGGGAAGCCAACCCGCGAGGGGGAGCUAACCUCAAAAAGCCGGUCGUAGUCCGGAUUGGAGUCUGCAACUCGACUCCAUGAAGUUGGAAUCGCUAGUAAUCGUGGAUCAGCACGCCACGGUGAAUACGUUCCCGGGCCUUGUA
This 427-nucleotide ribosomal RNA is filed under the name uncultured Gammaproteobacteria bacterium. Its description in RNAcentral is "bacterial SSU rRNA". It matches the Rfam family "Bacterial small subunit ribosomal RNA", at positions 958 to 1385 of the family's 1533-position model. Lineage: Bacteria; Pseudomonadati; Pseudomonadota; Gammaproteobacteria. The record is from RNAcentral.